RNAcentral lists this long non-coding RNA (638 nucleotides) under Triticum aestivum (bread wheat). Its description in RNAcentral is "long non-coding RNA (TAES_LNC009858)". Lineage: Eukaryota; Viridiplantae; Streptophyta; Magnoliopsida; Poales; Poaceae. The record is from RNAcentral.
CACAACUCUUCUAUUUCAUGGGUAAAGUAUUGCAUGAACGCGCAACCUGCAUGAACGCACAAUUGACAAUCAGUGUCAUACUUCUGAUUGUAUUGAAAAUGAACAUUGUAAUAGUAAAGUAUUGCUCGCCUCCUGCCAUGAGGAAACAUGGUUCUACAAACGACUUUUAAUUCUUGCUCUUGUGGCAUCAUCAAACUCUUUCUUAACAAUGCAGCCCAAUGUAGAAAACUCAUUGAAUAAAUCCACAAAGAAAGAUAUACCAGACAUUCCCUUUCUGAAAAAGACAACAAAGAUUCAUCUAUGGAACUAAGGUUAGAACAUCAGUUUCCAUAGCUGAAAUACCAAGUUAGUUUCAGAGAAACAACACAGUUUAAUAUUAAUAAUAUAUCAUGUAAUUACUCAUCCGUGUUUUCCGUAACAAAUACAAUAUCCUGCUAGAACAACUACCCUGGAAAUUGCGGUUGAAUCGGAAAGCCUUGUACGUGCUCAAUAUCACCAUGCAUUCAGAACAUGACACCAACCAAAUUGUCUGACCAUGGAGAGUUCAAGCAGUAAUGAAUUAUCAUUGGGUGAAAAAAGUUCUAAAAAAUGUGCGUAAACUGAAGAAGCAUAUAUCAUCUUGGGGAGCCUCUUCCUAU